AACGAACGCUGGCGGCAUGCCUAACACAUGCAAGUCGAACGAGACCUCCGGGCCUAGUGGCGCACGGGUGCGUAACGCGUGGGAAUCUACCCACAGGUUCGGCGUCUCUCAGAGAAAUUUGAGCUAAUACCGGUAAAUGACGUAAGUCACAAGAUUGAUCGGCUGAGGAUGGGCCCGCGUUGGAUUAGGUAGUUGGUGAGGUAAAGGCUCACCAAGGCGGCGAUGCUUAGCUGGUCUGAGAGGAGGAUCAGCCAGCCUGGGACUGAGACACGGCCCAGACUGCUACGGGAGGGAGCAGAGGGGAAUAUUGGGCAAGGGGCGAAAGCCUGAUGCAGCAAUGUCGCGUGAGUGAUGAAGGCCUUAGGGUUGUAAAGCUCGUUUAGCCGGGAUGAUAAUGACAGUACCGGGAGAAUAAGCACCGGCUAACUACGUG
RNAcentral lists this ribosomal RNA (433 nucleotides) under uncultured bacterium. RNAcentral's name for it is "partial 16S ribosomal RNA". It matches the Rfam family "Bacterial small subunit ribosomal RNA", at positions 29 to 507 of the family's 1533-position model. The record is from RNAcentral.